AUACGGAGGGUGCAAGCGUUACUCGGAAUCACUGGGCGUAAAGCGCGCGCAGGCGGUCUUUUAAGUUGGAUGUGAAAGCCUAUGGCUCAACCAUAGAACUGCAUCCAAAACUAUUUAGCUAGAGUGUGGGAGAGGAAGAUGGAAUUAGUUGUGUAGGGGUAAAAUCCGUAGAGAUAACUAGGAAUACCAAAAGCGAAGGCAAUCUUCUGGAACACUACUGACGCUGAGGCGCGAAAGCGUGGGGAGCAAACAGGAUUAGAAACCCUAGUAGUCC
This 274-nucleotide ribosomal RNA is filed under the name uncultured bacterium. Its description in RNAcentral is "partial 16S ribosomal RNA". It matches the Rfam family "Bacterial small subunit ribosomal RNA", at positions 523 to 796 of the family's 1533-position model. The record is from RNAcentral.